This 530-nucleotide ribosomal RNA is filed under the name uncultured bacterium. RNAcentral's name for it is "bacterial SSU rRNA". It matches the Rfam family "Bacterial small subunit ribosomal RNA", at positions 777 to 1304 of the family's 1533-position model. The record is from RNAcentral.
AAUAGAUACCCAGGUAGUCCACGCCGUAAACGAUGAGUGCUAAGUGUUAGAGGGUUUCCGCCCUUUAGUGCUGCAGCUAACGCAUUAAGCACUCCGCCUGGGGAGUACGGCCGCAAGGCUGAAACUCAAAGGAAUUGACGGGGGCCCGCACAAGCGGUGGAGCAUGUGGUUUAAUUCGAAGCAACGCGAAGAACCUUACCAGGUCUUGACAUCCUCUGCCAACCCUAGAGAUAGGGCGUUCCCCCUUCGGGGGACAGAGUGACAGGUGGUGCAUGGUUGUCGUCAGCUCGUGUCGUGAGAUGUUGGGUUAAGUCCCGCAACGAGCGCAACCCUUGAUCUUAGUUGCCAGCAUUCAGUUGGGCACUCUAAGGUGACUGCCGGUGACAAACCGGAGGAAGGUGGGGAUGACGUCAAAUCAUCAUGCCCCUUAUGACCUGGGCUACACACGUGCUACAAUGGAUGGUACAAAGAGCUGCGAACCCGCGAGGGUAAGCCAAUCUCAUAAAGCCAUUCUCAGUUCGGAUUGUAGG